CGGCGGACGGGUGAGUAACGCGUGGGCAACCUGCCUUGAACAGGGGGAUAACACAGGGAAACUUGUGCUAAUACCGCAUAACAUUAUCGAAUGGCAUCAUUUGAUAAUCAAAGGAGCAAUCCGGUUUAAGAUGGGCCCGCGUCCAAUUAGCUAGUUGGUGAUGUAACGGACCACCAAGGCGACGAUUGGUAGCCGAACUGAGAGGUUGAUCGGCCACAUUGGGACUGAGACACGGCCCAGACUCCUACGGGAGGCAGCAGUGGGGAAUAUUGCGCAAUGGGGGAAACCCUGACGCAGCAACGCCGCGUGAAGGAUGAAGGUUUUCGGAUUGUAAACUUCUUUGAUGAGGGACGAAACAAAUGACGGUACCUCAAAAACAAGCCACGGCUAACUACGUGCCAGCAGCCGCGGUAAUACGUAGGUGGCGAGCGUUGUCCGGAAUUACUGGGUGUAAAGGGCGUGUAGGCGGGGAUGUAAGUCAGAUGUGAAAUACCGAGGCUUAACUUCGGGGCUGCAUCUGAAACUACGUUUCUUGAGUGUCGGAGAGGAAAGCGGAAUUCCCAGUGUAGCGGUGAAAUGCGUAGAUAUUGGGGAGGAACACCAGUGG
RNAcentral lists this ribosomal RNA (607 nucleotides) under uncultured bacterium. RNAcentral describes it as "bacterial SSU rRNA". It matches the Rfam family "Bacterial small subunit ribosomal RNA", at positions 96 to 715 of the family's 1533-position model. The record is from RNAcentral.